Molecule: ribosomal RNA, 637 nt
Filed under: Pantoea sp.
Lineage: Bacteria; Pseudomonadati; Pseudomonadota; Gammaproteobacteria; Enterobacterales; Erwiniaceae
Description: bacterial SSU rRNA
Rfam family: Bacterial small subunit ribosomal RNA
Source: RNAcentral
UAGUCCACGCCGUAAACGAUGUCGACUUGGAGGUUGCUCCCUUGAGGAGUGGCUUCCGGAGCUAACGCGUUAAGUCGACCGCCUGGGGAGUACGGCCGCAAGGUUAAAACUCAAAUGAAUUGACGGGGGCCCGCACAAGCGGUGGAGCAUGUGGUUUAAUUCGAUGCAACGCGAAGAACCUUACCUACUCUUGACAUCCAGGGAAUUUGGCAGAGAUGCUUUAGUGCCUUCGGGAACGGUGAGACAGGUGCUGCAUGGCUGUCGUCAGCUCGUGUUGUGAAAUGUUGGGUUAAGUCCCGCAACGAGCGCAACCCUUAUCCUUUGUUGCCAGCGAUUCGGUCGGGAACUCAAAGGAGACUGCCGGUGAUAAACCGGAGGAAGGUGGGGAUGACGUCAAGUCAUCAUGGCCCUUACGAGUAGGGCUACACACGUGCUACAAUGGCGCAUACAAAGAGAAGCGACCUCGCGAGAGCAAGCGGACCUCACAAAGUGCGUCGUAGUCCGGAUCGGAGUCUGCAACUCGACUCCGUGAAGUCGGAAUCGCUAGUAAUCGUGGAUCAGAAUGCCACGGUGAAUACGUUCCCGGGCCUUGUACACACCGCCCGUCACACCAUGGGAGUGGGUUGCAAAAGAAGUA